Molecule: ribosomal RNA, 253 nt
Filed under: uncultured bacterium
Lineage: Bacteria
Description: partial 16S ribosomal RNA
Rfam family: Bacterial small subunit ribosomal RNA
Source: RNAcentral
UACGAAGGGUGCAAACGUUGCCCGGAAUUAUUGGGCGUAAAGCGCACGUAGGCGGCUUAGCAAGUCGGAAGUGAAAUCCCUCGGCUCAACCAAGGAAGUGCUUUCGAAACUGCUGAGCUUGAGUACUUAAGAGGAUCGCGGAAUUCCCGGUGUAGAGGUGAAAUUCGUAGAUAUCGGGAGGAACACCAGUGGCGAAGGCGGCGAUCUGGGAAGAUACUGACGCUGAGGUGCGAAAGCGUGGGGAGCAAACAGG